CCUACGGGUGGCUGCAGUCGCGAAUCUUCCACAAUGGACGAAAGUCUGAUGGAGCGACGCCGCGUGCGGGAUGAAGGCCUUCGGGUUGUAAACCGCUGUCGAGGGGAAUCAAAUUUUGAGUGAUCCCUGGAGGAAGCACCGGCUAAACUCGUGCCAGCAGCCGCGGUAAUACGAGUGGUGCAAACGUUGUUCGGAAUUACUGGGCUUAAAGGGUGCGUAGGCGGCCAUGUAGGUCUGAUGUGAAAUACCACGGCUCAACCGUGGAACUGCGUUGGAUACCGCAUGGCUGGAGUGAGACAGAGGUAAGCGGAACUGAUGGUGGAGCGGUGAAAUGCGUUGAUAUCAUCAGGAACACCGGUGGCGAAAGCGGCUUACUGGGUCUUUACUGACGCUGAUGCACGAAAGCUAGGGGAGCAAACGGGAUUAGAUACCCCAGUAGUC
RNAcentral lists this ribosomal RNA (441 nucleotides) under uncultured bacterium. RNAcentral's name for it is "bacterial SSU rRNA". It matches the Rfam family "Bacterial small subunit ribosomal RNA", at positions 338 to 795 of the family's 1533-position model. The record is from RNAcentral.